GCAACACACGAGAUCAUGCCCGCCGAGGCACUGCAAAAACCCUGCGACUCCGUGCGAGCCCCUCCAGAGUCUCAAGCAAAUAACUCAAAAUCAUGAGGCGCAGCGGCAACGCUAAACUCCUUUACGUUGGGUUGUGUCCAGCUCUCUCGAGUCCUGCCACUUCUGAGCUUCGCCCUGCAAAAUACUGCUGCUCAACGCCGCAUUUGAAGGACUGGCAUGCUGCCCGCAUCCACCCUUGGUUUUGGUUUUUGUUCCCCUCGGGAGCAACGCCGGGUGCUGCAGUGGCGAUGCUCAAGCGGCUGUCCUUCCAGCUUCAGUCCUGUUCCAAACCAGUCCAAGUUCAGGGAAUGCUUUAAUGUGUUGUUUGUGGAUUCGAGGUCCUCCACGAAGGACGGUUGUCGAAGUGGAAGUUUUUUCUUGGCUUUGCUGAUUAGAAAAGAUAGACUCUGAUGGCAGUUUUCGCACCACUGAUGCUAUUGCACAAUUGUCAAAUUUGAAGAUACUCAACAAUUGGGCGUAUUUUGGUGACCACUGUAAACUCUUCGCUUCUGAAGGGGAUAUCAUCAGACAUUUUAAACUGACAGCAUUGAAUGAU
Molecule: non-coding RNA, 595 nt
Organism: Physcomitrium patens
Lineage: Eukaryota; Viridiplantae; Streptophyta; Bryopsida; Funariales; Funariaceae
Source: RefSeq, a predicted model, not a curated record